Long non-coding RNA from Populus nigra (black poplar), 1022 nucleotides. RefSeq lists it as uncharacterized. The transcript has 2 exons. NCBI's taxonomy places the organism in Eukaryota, Viridiplantae, Streptophyta, Magnoliopsida, Malpighiales, Salicaceae. The record is from RefSeq and is a predicted model, not a curated record.
CAAAAAAACUAAAACAUGUUGCGAAAAUACUGUUCAUUUAGACUCAUGUAACUGUGGAUUCAAGCAGUGUUUCUCACGAUAGUGAAGUCGUGUUUUCAAUUUCUCUUCUUUUCUAACUUUUCGCUGGUUGUAGCGUGAACUUACAAGCAAAGAUUUUUUCUCUUCUUUUCAAGUCUAGAAACACGUAUGGAUAAACACCACAAUUUUUCACCUUUUUCCCUUCCCCUCAAGGCAGAACAAUUUUUGCAUUUCUUUCUUCUCUUUUCUUAUUAGUAUAAGUUGUGUUUUUUUCCCAUGGAUCUACUUUUUUUGUUUGCGGUUCGCAAAGUUUUUAAGAGAUGAGUUUUUGAUUUUUGUCUGCUUUUUUUUAUUUUCAUUUGUUCAUGUUGAUGGGUUUUUCGAUUAUCUGUGUAGGUUUUUUGCAUCUACACACUCUUUCAUGUUUUAUCUUUCCAUACUUUUUCUCUCUUUUUUUGUCUGGUUUUGGUUGUUUAUUUGUUUCUUACUUGGAGAUACUGAUUUGUUUCCCUUUUUACUCUGUUACAGGUUGCUUUGACCUUCGAAGCCAUUGAUUCACCUAGCCUUAAGUGGGGAUCCAGGUUACGAAACCAAGGCGGUUGUAAGGAUAUGUCUUGCUGAUGGUAUUGACAUGUUCCUAGCAUUGUUGGUGAUGGACGGUUCUUGCAUGAUAGAUUAAUUGUAUGAGAAUUCAUUGGAACCCUUGUGAUGUUCAGGUGUUGAAACCCGGCUGGAAUCAUUAUCGCCACUACAUCAGCAGGUUUGUCCUUUCCUCGCACCGUCUUUCUCUCUCUUCUUCUUCUUAUUGGCAUAGGAUUCGGUUCCUAUAGAUAAAGAGCAUACAUGAAACAUGCCUUUGGUACAAAUACUAACAGAUAUGUAUAAAGUCAUGUUAGUCCCAUGAUGAUGACAGACUUGGCUUGCGCAAAAUUAACCACAUGUUUUGAACUAAAUUUUUAUUUUGUUAGUUUUAAAUGAAUACUUUAGUUGUUUGCUACUUUAAA